GAUAAUGGAUGAACCACAGUCUUGUUUUCUCUCCUGACAUUAUAUUGUUAUUCAGAUAUUAAUGCUUGCUUUCCUUUCUUAAAUGGAAUUUCAAGUUUGGCUAUUCUGUUACAUUG
Small nucleolar RNA from Raphanus sativus (radish), 116 nucleotides. The record is from RefSeq and is a predicted model, not a curated record. NCBI's taxonomy places the organism in Eukaryota, Viridiplantae, Streptophyta, Magnoliopsida, Brassicales, Brassicaceae.